CAUGCAAGUCGAGCGGGGGAAGGUAGCUUGCUACUGGACCUAGCGGCGGACGGGUGAGUAAUACUUAGGAAUCUGCCUAUUAGUGGGGGACAACGUUCCGAAAGGAGCGCUAAUAUCGCAUACGCCCUACGGGGGAAAGCAGGGGAUCUUCGGACCUUGCGCUAAUAGAUGAGCCUAAGUCGGAUUAGCUAGUUGGUGGGGUAAAGGCUUACCAAGGCGACGAUCU
RNAcentral lists this ribosomal RNA (226 nucleotides) under uncultured bacterium. RNAcentral's name for it is "partial 16S ribosomal RNA". It matches the Rfam family "Bacterial small subunit ribosomal RNA", at positions 54 to 282 of the family's 1533-position model. The record is from RNAcentral.